This 555-nucleotide ribosomal RNA is filed under the name Isoberlinia scheffleri. RNAcentral's name for it is "eukaryotic LSU rRNA". The stretch from base 58 to 213 matches the Rfam family "5.8S ribosomal RNA". Lineage: Eukaryota; Viridiplantae; Streptophyta; Magnoliopsida; Fabales; Fabaceae. The record is from RNAcentral.
UGGCCGUCCCGGCCACGGUGCACGUGCAACGAGUGACGCGAAAUCUGUAUCCAAAAUGACUCUCGGCAACGGAUAUCUCGGCUCUCGCAUCGAUGAAGAACGUAGCGAAAUGCGAUACUUGGUGUGAAUUGCAGAAUCCCGUGAACCAUCGAGUCUUUGAACGCAAGUUGCGCCCGAAGCCAUUAGGCCGAGGGCACGUCUGGCUGGGUGUCACGCAACGUCGCCCCAACCCCCACGCCCAUCGUAGGGCGUUGGGGGGCGGGGGCGGAUGAUGGCCUCCCGUGAGCCACGCCUCGCGGAUGGCCGAAAUAAGAGUUCGCGAUGUGGCGAGCACCACGGCGCACGGUAGUUGUUGAGUAACAACGUUUGAGCCCAGUCGUGCGUGCUCUGCCCUCGUGGCGAGCUCAGAGACCCUAUCGCGUCUCAAGACGCUUCUGAUGCGACCUCAGCUCAGGCGGGGCUACCCGCUGAGUUUAAGCAUAUCAAUAAGNGGUGAGGAGARGUAGUAACAAGGAUUCCCCUAGUAACGGCGAGCGAACACGGGAAGAGCCCACC